Molecule: non-coding RNA, 84 nt
Filed under: Marinobacter persicus
Lineage: Bacteria; Pseudomonadati; Pseudomonadota; Gammaproteobacteria; Pseudomonadales; Marinobacteraceae
Source: RNAcentral
GCCUCAUGCCUGAAAGGGCGACGUGGCAACACGGAGCGAGAAGUCAGCAGAGGCCAUAGUAGCCGCUUGGUCAGGGCGAAGGGC